This 376-nucleotide ribosomal RNA is filed under the name uncultured bacterium. RNAcentral describes it as "bacterial SSU rRNA". It matches the Rfam family "Bacterial small subunit ribosomal RNA", at positions 524 to 898 of the family's 1533-position model. The record is from RNAcentral.
UACGUAGGAGACGAGCGUUGUCCGGAGUUACUGGGCGUAAAGGGUGCGCAGGCGGCCCUGCGCGUCGCGAGUGAAAUCUCCCGGCUCAACUGGGAGGGUGGUCGCGAGACGGCAGGGCUUGAGGCUCGGUGAGGGGCGUGGAAUUCCGGGUGGAGCGGUGAAAUGCGUAGAGAUCCGGAGGAACACCAACGGCGUAGGCAGCGCCCUAGACGAGACCUGACGCUCAGGCACGAAAGCGCGGGGAGCGAACAGGAUUAGAUACCCUGGUAGUCCGCGCCGUAAACGAUGUCCACCAGGUGUUGGGGGUAUCGACCCCUCCAGCGCCGGAGCUAACGUGAUGAGUGGACCGCCUGGGGAGUACGGCCGCAAGGUUAAA